UGACCUCAGAUCAGACAGGAUACCGCUGAACUUAACCAUAUCAUA
RNAcentral lists this ribosomal RNA (45 nucleotides) under Orbilia oxyspora. RNAcentral describes it as "partial 28S large subunit ribosomal RNA". Lineage: Eukaryota; Fungi; Ascomycota; Orbiliomycetes; Orbiliales; Orbiliaceae. The record is from RNAcentral.